This 581-nucleotide ribosomal RNA is filed under the name uncultured bacterium. RNAcentral's name for it is "bacterial SSU rRNA". It matches the Rfam family "Bacterial small subunit ribosomal RNA", at positions 34 to 633 of the family's 1533-position model. The record is from RNAcentral.
CGCUGGCGGCGUGCUUACACAUGCAAGUCGAGCGGAAAGGCCCUUCGGGGUACUCGAGCGGCGAACGGGUGAGUAACACGUGAGUAACCUGCCCUUGGCUCUGGGAUAGCUCCGGGAAACCGGAAUUAAUACCGGAUAGGACCCUGGAAGACAUCUUCUGGGGUGGAAAGAUUUUUCGGCCAGGGAUGGGCUCGCGGCCUAUCAGCUUGUUGGUGGGGUAACGGCCUACCAAGGCGACGACGGGUAGCCGGCCUGAGAGGGCGACCGGCCACACUGGGACUGAGACACGGCCCAGACUCCUACGGGAGGCAGCAGUGGGGAAUAUUGCGCAAUGGGCGGAAGCCUGACGCAGCGACGCCGCGUGGGGGAUGAAGGCCUUCGGGUUGUAAACCCCUUUCGGCAGGGACGAAGGGUGACUGACGGUACCUGCAGAAGAAGCGCCGGCUAACUACGUGCCAGCAGCCGCGGUAACACGUAGGGCGCAAGCGUUGUCCGGAAUCAUUGGGCGUAAAGAGCUCGUANGCGGUUUGUCGCGUCUGCUGUGAAAACUGGGGGCUUAACCCCCAGCUGGCAGUGGAUAC